RNAcentral lists this ribosomal RNA (305 nucleotides) under uncultured bacterium. RNAcentral describes it as "bacterial SSU rRNA". It matches the Rfam family "Bacterial small subunit ribosomal RNA", at positions 337 to 656 of the family's 1533-position model. The record is from RNAcentral.
UCCUACGGGACGCAGCAGUGGGGAAUAUUGCCCAAUGGGGGGAACCCUGAUGCAGCAAUGCCGCGUGAAGGAUGAAGGUUUUCUGAUUGUAAACUUCUUUUGUACGGGACGAAGAAAGUGACGGUACCGUAAGAAUAAGCCACGGCUAACUACGUGCCAGCAGCCGCGGUAAUACGUAGGUGGCAAGCGUUAUCCGGAUUUACUGGGUGUAAAGGGCGAGUAGGCGGGAUUGCAAGUCAGAUGUGAAAACUAUGGGCUCAACCGAUAGAGUGCCUUUGACACUGCAGUUCUUGAGGGCUGGAGGG